Molecule: ribosomal RNA, 387 nt
Filed under: Heteromys salvini (Salvin's spiny pocket mouse)
Lineage: Eukaryota; Metazoa; Chordata; Mammalia; Rodentia; Heteromyidae
Description: Liomys salvini (Salvin's spiny pocket mouse) partial 12S ribosomal RNA
Rfam family: Bacterial small subunit ribosomal RNA
Source: RNAcentral
AUAGCCAUAAACAUAAGUUUAUUAAUCAAACAAAUAAAUUCGCCAGAGAACUACGAGCCAUUGCUUAAAACUCAAAGGACUUGGCGGUGCUUUAUAUCCAUCUAGAGGAGCCUGUUCUAUAAUCGAUAAACCCCGAUAAACCUCACCACCCCUUGCCAAUACCAGUCUGUAUACCGCCAUCUUCAGCAAACCCUUAAAAGGAGUAACAGUAAGCUUAAUUAUUAUAAAAUAAAAAAGUUAGGUCAAGGUGCAGCCUAUGGGGUGGGUUGCAAUGGGCUACAUUUUCUAGACUAGAACACUACGAAUCCCUACAUGAAACUUUGUAGGAUGAAGGAGGAUUUAGCAGUAAACUAAAGAUAGAGAAUUUAGUUGAACAGAGCAAUGAAG